CGGGUUUGGAUGCAUGGCUCAGAUUGAACGCUGGCGGCAUGCCUAACACAUGCAAGUCGACACGGUAACAGGCCGUAUGGGAUCCCUUCGGGGUGACCUUGGCGCUGACGAGUGGCGGACGGGUGAGUAAUACUUAGCGAAUCUGCCCAAUAGUGGGGGACAACUCGAGGAAACUCGAGCUAAUACCGCAUACGCCCUACGGGGGAAAGCGGGGGAUCUUCGGACCUCGCGCUAUUGGAUGAGCCUAAGUCGGAUUAGCUUGUCUGGUAGGGUAAAGGCCUACCAAGGCGACGAUCCGUAGCUGGUCUGAGAGGACNAUCAGCCACACUGGGCACUGAGCACACGGCCCCAGACUCCUACGGGAGGCAGCAUUGGGGAAUAUUGGACAAUGGGCGCAAGCCUGAUCCAAGCAAUGCCGCGUGUGUGAAAAA
RNAcentral lists this ribosomal RNA (431 nucleotides) under uncultured bacterium. RNAcentral's name for it is "bacterial SSU rRNA". It matches the Rfam family "Bacterial small subunit ribosomal RNA", at positions 9 to 412 of the family's 1533-position model. The record is from RNAcentral.